GGGCCCUCCCUCUGCUCUAGUAUCCUGGCAGAGGAGGAGAACCUGAUGUGAGUGAAGCUGUUAUACUGCUUUAAAAAGUUGAAACAACUUGACCUUGCUGUGAACAAAAAGAUGUUGUGGGUAAGCAGAUGGACCCAGAAGAGUUCAGGAGAAAAAUGAGAAGUGUGUCGUAAGCCUCCUUCAAUAAACAAAGUGUACCAACUGCCUAACA
This 211-nucleotide long non-coding RNA is filed under the name Struthio camelus australis. Its description in RNAcentral is "lncRNA (ENSSCUG00000002225.1)". The record is from RNAcentral. Lineage: Eukaryota; Metazoa; Chordata; Aves; Struthioniformes; Struthionidae.